UGCGCCCGUAGCUCAAUUGGAUAGAGCAUCUGACUACGGAUCAGAAGGUUGCAGGUUCGACUCCUGCCGGGCGCGA
This 76-nucleotide transfer RNA is filed under the name Candidatus Omnitrophica bacterium ADurb.Bin277. Its description in RNAcentral is "tRNA-Arg". It matches the Rfam family "tRNA". From Rfam's summary of the family: Transfer RNA (tRNA) molecules are approximately 80 nucleotides in length. Their secondary structure includes four short double-helical elements and three loops (D, anti-codon, and T loops). Lineage: Bacteria; Pseudomonadati; Candidatus Omnitrophota. The record is from RNAcentral.